CUGAGUUCUCUGUCAGGUUUUUCUCCAAGUUUUGUCUAGGGUUUUGUUCCAAGGAAACCUUAGAGUAUUUUGCUUCUCUUCCUUCUUCUGUCUGUCCUGUUUCAAUGAAACUCUAGUAUUUAUAGGCUAAUAUUGGUAGCUUAGUGGGCUUUUGAGAGAGGUCCAAGUUUGAGAUUUUUUUUCUUUUUAUUUAUUUAUUUAUUUAAUUAAAAUUUGUUUUUAUUUCAUUUUUUUUUUAAAUAAAGUUUCUUGGAUCUGAUUCUGAUUGACAUGAUGAAAUGCAAUGUAUCUA
Molecule: long non-coding RNA, 292 nt
Filed under: Lathyrus oleraceus (garden pea)
Lineage: Eukaryota; Viridiplantae; Streptophyta; Magnoliopsida; Fabales; Fabaceae
Description: Pisum sativum (pea) long non-coding RNA (PSAT_LNC001273)
Source: RNAcentral